This 452-nucleotide ribosomal RNA is filed under the name uncultured bacterium. Its description in RNAcentral is "partial 16S ribosomal RNA". It matches the Rfam family "Bacterial small subunit ribosomal RNA", at positions 28 to 507 of the family's 1533-position model. The record is from RNAcentral.
GAUGAACGCUGGCGGCGUGCCUAACACAUGCAAGUCGAGCGAUUCUCUUCGGAGAAGAGCGGCGGACGGGUGAGUAACGCGUGGGUAACCUGCCCUGUACACACGGAUAACAUACCGAAAGGUAUGCUAAUACGAGAUAAUAUGCUUUUAUCGCUUGGUAGAAGUAUCAAAGCUUUUGCGGUACAGGAUGGACCCGCGUCUGAUUAGCUAGUUGGUAAGGUAACGGCUUACCAAGGCGACGAUCAGUAGCCGACCUGAGAGGGUGAUCGGCCACAUUGGAACUGGGACACGGUCCAAACUCCUACGGGAGGCAGCAGUGGGGAAUAUUGCACAAUGGGCGAAAGCCUGAUGCAGCAACGCCGCGUGAGCGAUGAAGGCCUUCGGGUCGUAAAGUUCUGUCCUCAAGGAAGAUAAUGACGGUACUUGAGGAGGAAGCCCCGGCUAACUACGUG